This 466-nucleotide ribosomal RNA is filed under the name uncultured bacterium. RNAcentral's name for it is "partial 16S ribosomal RNA". It matches the Rfam family "Bacterial small subunit ribosomal RNA", at positions 339 to 795 of the family's 1533-position model. The record is from RNAcentral.
CUACGGGCGGCUGCAGUGGGGAAUAUUGGACAAUGGGGGAAACCCUGAUCCAGCAAUGCCGCGUGUGUGAAGAAGGCCUGCGGGUUGUAAAGCACUUUCGGUUGGGAGGACUGCUUCUAGCACUAAUAUUGUUGGAAGUUGACGUUACCUUCAGAAGAAGCACCGGCUAACUCCGUGCCAGCAGCCGCGAGUAAUACGGAGGGUGCAAGCGUUAAUCGGAAUUACUGGGCGUAAAGCGCGCGUAGGCGGCUAGAUCAGUCGGGUGUGAAAGCCCCGGGCUUAACCGGGGAACUGCAUCCGAUACUGGCUAGCUUGAGUACAGGAGAGGAGAGUGGAAUUCCACAUGUAGCGGUGAAAUGCGUAGAUAUGUGGAGGAACACCAAUGGCGAAGGCAGCUCUCUGGCCUGAUACUGACGCUGAGGUGCGAAAGCGUGGGAAGCAAACAGGAUUAGAUACCCCGGUAGUC